AUGGCUCGGCGCUACCACCUGACCCUCCUCUCCGUCUUCUCCUUCCUGCUCCUCACCGGCCUUUUGGCUACUCAUCAGUCCCGAGGGAAGAAAGUCGGGAAGAUAGUGACCCUGACCGUCCAGUACCCGGCCGUGGACUCACCGCCGGGGGAGAAGAUCAAGAUCUCGGCGCACUACGUUGAUGAGCACGGAGGCGACCGCCACUUCGACCUCGACUGCGAUGAUGACGAGCCCCUCGGUUUCGGCAUGAAGUACCUUCUCUCGACCCUGGAGGGCAUACGAGGUGCGCGGGAGUCUCGAUCCGAGCUCUAG
This 312-nucleotide ribosomal RNA is filed under the name Triticum aestivum (bread wheat). RNAcentral describes it as "partial small subunit ribosomal RNA". Lineage: Eukaryota; Viridiplantae; Streptophyta; Magnoliopsida; Poales; Poaceae. The record is from RNAcentral.